GGUUGUCAUGCCAAUGGCACUGCCCGGUAGCUAAAUGCGGAAGAGAUAAGUGCUGAAAGCAUCUAAGCACGAAACUUGCCCCGAGAUGAGUUCUCCCUGAGACUUAGAGUCUCCUGAAGGAACGUUGAAGACGACGACGUUGAUAGGCCGGGUGUGUAAGCGCAGCGAUGCGUUGAGCUAACCGGUACUAAUGAACCGUGAGGCUUAACCUUACAACGCCGAAG
Molecule: ribosomal RNA, 224 nt
Filed under: Salmonella enterica subsp. enterica serovar Infantis
Lineage: Bacteria; Pseudomonadati; Pseudomonadota; Gammaproteobacteria; Enterobacterales; Enterobacteriaceae
Also listed under: 4 other names
Description: partial 23S ribosomal RNA
Rfam family: Bacterial large subunit ribosomal RNA
Source: RNAcentral